This 253-nucleotide ribosomal RNA is filed under the name uncultured bacterium. RNAcentral's name for it is "partial 16S ribosomal RNA". It matches the Rfam family "Bacterial small subunit ribosomal RNA", at positions 524 to 776 of the family's 1533-position model. The record is from RNAcentral.
UACGGAGGGAGCGAGCGUUAAUCGGAAUUACUGGGCGUAAAGGGUGCGUAGGUGGUUGAUUAAGUUAUAUGUGAAAUUCCUGGGCUUAACCUGGGACGGUCAGAUAAUACUGGUUGACUCGAGUAUGGGAGAGGGUAGUGGAAUUUCCGGUGUAGCGGUGAAAUGCGUAGAGAUCGGAAGGAACACCAGUGGCGAAGGAGGCUACCUGGCCUAAUACUGACACUGAGGCACGAAAGCGUGGGGAGCAAACAGG